ACGCGAUUAAAUAGCAAUACCGGAAAUCUGUUGUUCGAACGGUUUUAUUGUGACGGCGGCCCGCGGAAACGGCCGUCGGAUUCCCACGCGGUUUCGUCAAACGAAUAACCGAACGGGUUUUUUUUUUCUGUCGUUGUGUUUUCCGCGAUAUUUUCCGAAAUUUCGCGAUUUUUCCGCCGGUGAUAUUUCGCCUGAAAUAAUACGUGCCCGACACUAAUUGCAACCGAACAAAUGCGGCUGUCUUACACCGGCCCACUCUACGUGCACUACCCUGCGCACUCGCGUCCGUUUUAACGGUUUACAGAGCUCCCCGGUCAGAAUCGCGUUUCGUUUGAUAACAUUUACCAUUGUUGUGUUCAGCGUUCGACUAGUAUCAAUCGCCGUGUACCCUAUGCACGUGGCGCGAAGUACAAUAUGUUUCAUUACACUUAUGUUUGCUCGGAGGGCUGGCCUUAAAGACCGUUAACCUUUUAAAAGAAAUUAUUUCAACCGCAGUGGAGUCACAGACAAUCGCGCAGAGGCGCAUACCCGUGAGCGAAGAAAAUUGCUUUGUAAGUUCAAAAAUGUCAAAUAUUGUAAGUACAUGGCGAGGACGUCACUGACCUAUAAUUCGCCCGCAGGAACCCGCGAUGUUUUAUCGACCGAUACAAUACAAUGUGAUAUUAUAAAUUUACACGUUCCGGAGGAGACCUUUAUCGUCGGCGCAUCGUACACCAUAACGUUAUUUAGAU
Non-coding RNA from Cinara cedri, 731 nucleotides. NCBI's taxonomy places the organism in Eukaryota, Metazoa, Arthropoda, Insecta, Hemiptera, Aphididae. The record is from the annotation of a GenBank genome assembly.